Molecule: RNA transcript, 416 nt
Organism: Arabidopsis thaliana (thale cress)
Lineage: Eukaryota; Viridiplantae; Streptophyta; Magnoliopsida; Brassicales; Brassicaceae
Exons: 1
Source: RefSeq
CCGAAGUUUCCCUCAGGAUAGCUGGAGCUCGGACGCGAGUUCUAUCGGGUAAAGCCAAUGAUUAGAGGCAUUGGGGGCGCAACGCCCUCGACCUAUUCUCAAACUUUAAAUAGGUAGGACGUGUCGGCUGCUUUGUUGAGCCGUCACACGGAAUCGAGAGCUCCAAGUGGGCCAUUUUUGGUAAGCAGAACUGGCGAUGCGGGAUGAACCGGAAGCCGGGUUACGGUGCCCAACUGCGCGCUAACCUAGAACCCACAAAGGGUGUUGGUCGAUUAAGACAGCAGGACGGUGGUCAUGGAAGUCGAAAUCCGCUAAGGAGUGUGUAACAACUCACCUGCCGAAUCAACUAGCCCCGAAAAUGGAUGGCGCUUAAGCGCGCGACCUAUACCCGGCCGUCGGGGCAAGAGCCAGGCCUC